GACGAACGCUUUCGGCGUGCUUAACACAUGCAAGUCGAACGGAAAGGCCCUGCUUUUGUGGGGUGCUCGAGUGGCGAACGGGUGAGUAACACGUGAGUAACCUGCCCUUGACUUUGGGAUAACUUCAGGAAACUGGGGCUAAUACCGGAUAGGAGCUCCUGCUGCAUGGUGGGGGUUGGAAAGUUUCGGCGGUUGGGGAUGGACUCGCGGCUUAUCAGCUUGUUGGUGGGGUAGUGGCUUACCAAGGCUUUGACGGGUAGCCGGCCUGAGAGGGUGACCGGCCACAUUGGGACUGAGAUACGGCCCAGACUCCUACGGGAGGCAGCAGUGGGGAAUAUUGCACAAUGGGCGGAAGCCUGAUGCAGCAACGCCGCGUGCGGGAUGACGGCCUUCGGGUUGUAAACCGCUUUCGCCUGUGACGAAGCGUGAGUGACGGUAAUGGGUAAAGAAGCACCGGCUAACUACGUGCCAGCAGCCGCGGUGAUACGUAGGGUGCGAGCGUUGUCCGGAUUUAUUGGGCGUAAAGGGCUCGUAGGUGGUUGAUCGCGUCGGAAGUGUAAUCUUGGGGCUUAACCCUGAGCGUGCUUUCGAUACGGGUUGACUUGAGGAAGGUAGGGGAGAAUGGAAUUCCUGGUGGAGCGGUGGAAUGCGCAGAUAUCAGGAGGAACACCAGUGGCGAAGGCGGUUCUCUGGGCCUUUCCUGACGCUGAGGAGCGAAAGCGUGGGGAGCGAACAGGCUUAGAUACCCUGGUAGUCCACGCUGUAAACGGUGGGUACUAGGUGUGGGGUCCAUUCCACGGGUUCCGUGCCGUAGCUAACGCUUUAAGUACCCCGCCUGGGGAGUACGGCCGCAAGGCUAAAACUCAAAGGAAUUGACGGGGCCCCGCACAAGCGGCGGAGCAUGCGGAUUAAUUCGAUGCAACGCGUAGAACCUUACCUGGGUUUGACAUGGAUCGGGAGUGCUCAGAGAUGGGUGUGCCUCUUUUGGGGUCGGUUCACAGGUGGUGCAUGGCUGUCGUCAGCUCGUGUCGUGAGAUGUUGGGUUAAGUCCCGCAACGAGCGCAACCCUUGUUCACUGUUGCCAGCACGUUAUGGUGGGGACUCAGUGGAGACCGCCGGGGUCAACUCGGAGGAAGGUGGGGAUGACGUCAAGUCAUCAUGCCCCUUAUGUCCAGGGCUUCACGCAUGCUACAAUGGCUGGUACAGAGAGUGGCGAGCCUGUGAGGGUGAGCGAAUCUCGGAAAGCCGGUCUCAGUUCGGAUUGGGGUCUGCAACUCGACCUCAUGAAGUCGGAGUCGCUAGUAGUCGCAGAUCAGCAACGCUGCGGUGAAUACGUUCCCGGG
RNAcentral lists this ribosomal RNA (1343 nucleotides) under uncultured bacterium. RNAcentral describes it as "16S ribosomal RNA". It matches the Rfam family "Bacterial small subunit ribosomal RNA", at positions 28 to 1378 of the family's 1533-position model. The record is from RNAcentral.